RNAcentral lists this ribosomal RNA (339 nucleotides) under uncultured bacterium. RNAcentral's name for it is "partial 16S ribosomal RNA". It matches the Rfam family "Bacterial small subunit ribosomal RNA", at positions 338 to 675 of the family's 1533-position model. The record is from RNAcentral.
CCUACGGGAGGCAGCAGUGAGGAAUAUUGGUCAAUGGGCGGGAGACUGAACCAGCCAAGCCGCGUGAGGGAUGAAGGUACAGAGUAUCGUAAACCUCUUUAGUCAGGGAACAAAGGCGGGGACGUGUCCCCGGAUGAGUGUACCUGAAGAAAAAGCAUCGGCUAACUCCAUGCCAGCAGCCGCGGUAAUACGGUGGAUGCGAGCGUUGUCCGGUUUUAUGGGGUUUAAAGUUGGCGCGGGCGGGUUGUUAAGUCAACGGUCAAACGACGGGGCUCAACCCCGGCCCGGCGUUGAAACUGGCAGUCUCGAGGUGGCGAGAAGUAUGCGGAAUGCGCGGGG